UUCCGUAGGUGAUUAACAAACUGAGAUUAACGUUUCGUCGGUUUGCCUACGACAGCUGGUAAAUCAGCUAGCUACGUCGCGUAGCAAUGCUACCAAACUGCGGGAAAGCUUUGAUAAGAGCUGAGUCUUAGUGGCUUAGCUCAGAAGCAAUCCGCACCUCUGUUAAUCACAGAGCCCAUCGACUAGAUGGUAGCGGGCGAUCACGAUCGUCUAAGGUAUAGUCAGGCCGUCGCUUAGCGACGAUCAAGCUGGAACCUGCGGAAGGAUCAAUA
This 272-nucleotide ribosomal RNA is filed under the name Phyllozyma corallina. RNAcentral describes it as "partial 18S rRNA". The record is from RNAcentral. Lineage: Eukaryota; Fungi; Basidiomycota; Spiculogloeomycetes; Spiculogloeales; Spiculogloeaceae.